GGCCCAAAUUUAAAGUAGAGUAGAUUAGAAGGAGCAUCUGACCCUACUUAACUACUUUACUUUGAGUUUAUGCUC
This 75-nucleotide microRNA precursor is filed under the name Haemonchus placei. Its description in RNAcentral is "mir-5928 microRNA precursor family". It matches the Rfam family "mir-5928 microRNA precursor family". Lineage: Eukaryota; Metazoa; Nematoda; Chromadorea; Rhabditida; Trichostrongylidae. The record is from Rfam by way of RNAcentral.